UACGAAGGGGGCUAGCGUUGUUCGGAAUCACUGGGCGUAAAGCGCACGUAGGCGGAUUUUUAAGUCAGGGGUGAAAUCCCGAGGCUCAACCUCGGAACUGCCUUUGAUACUGGGAAUCUUGAGUGUGGUAGAGGUAGGUGGAACUGCGAGUGUAGAGGUGAAAUUCGUAGAUAUUCGCAAGAACACCAGUGGCGAAGGCGGCCUACUGGACCACAACUGACGCUGAGGUGCGAAAGCGUGGGGAGCAAACAGG
This 253-nucleotide ribosomal RNA is filed under the name uncultured bacterium. Its description in RNAcentral is "partial 16S ribosomal RNA". It matches the Rfam family "Bacterial small subunit ribosomal RNA", at positions 524 to 776 of the family's 1533-position model. The record is from RNAcentral.